This 2084-nucleotide unclassified non-coding RNA is filed under the name Hevea brasiliensis (rubber tree). Lineage: Eukaryota; Viridiplantae; Streptophyta; Magnoliopsida; Malpighiales; Euphorbiaceae. The record is from RNAcentral.
AAGAAAAAUACAAACCUUUAUCACCAAAUUAGAGGGACGGAAGAAAAAAGGAAAAAACUGAACAACUAUAGUUGAAACCAAGAAUCCAACAUUCAUCAGACCUGCAGACCUGCAGUGUAUCUCACUCCAGUUGAUGGCAACCACAAGUUUCCUUCAAUGAAUUGGGCAACUGUGAAAUUAUUGGCCUGAUUGGAAGUAUUGAAAAUAUGAUACCCAGGCCAUUUGACCCUGUUAGCUAGCCCAGCUCCUGGCCCAUAAUUCAAGUACUCACCGUAAUGCAAAGUGUCCAAAUACUGAUCACCACUCCACUCCAGCCAUCCUUGUGGCCUUAUAACAUCACUCAUGUAGGAUUGCAUAACAACAGUUCUUGAAAAAUUUUUCCAGGGUCUACCAAGAUAUGUGUAUGUGGAGUUGGUGUAAGGCAAAAGAUCAAUAUCUGCUGAGAUAUUGCAAAAUUGGAUGGAGAAUCCAGUUGGUUCAUUUGGGUCCUUGCGUCCUUGAGCUGUUAUAGUAUUCUUCUGGUUUGAUAGGCCUUUCUUGGCUAGAAUCUGGCAGUUUUGAAAGACAGCAGUUGCAUCACCAAAAAUGAAGUCUACAGUCCCACUAAUACGACAUUCCCUGUAGAAUUGUCUCAUUGUAUGAGUGUAGAGUGUAUCUUGAUAUCCCUUAAUUUCACAUCGAAAGAAGACUGAUAGAUCAGAAUCGGAUCGGAGAGCCACUGCUUGGUGCUUUGCAGCACCUGCAGUGUUCUCAAAAGUAAUGUCUCGAGCUAUGAAUCCUCUCCCACUAACAGCAAAGGUUGCUGAGCGAAAGGUGGUCCAACCGUCAAUGACACUCCUGUCGCCAGAAAUUACUGUGGCACCCAUACCAUCACCAACCAUCAUUAGAUUCCAUUUCUUCUUCUUGAUCUCCACAUAUUCAUUAUAAAAACCCUUCUUAAUGUAUAAGACGUAGCGACGCAUGCUAUAAUCAGGUGCUGCUGAUACUGCAUCCAUUAUCUUUGUGAAAUUUCCAGUUCCAUCUGCUGCAACUAUAGCAUUAGGGGUCGCUCCAUUUAUCACUAACAAUUUACGGUCCUCGUGCUUAAUCCAUGAAGGGAAUUUAUCAUUUUUGGCACUUUUGCUGCCAGUGAAGGCAACUCCAUUGGUUUUAGAAUUACGUUUUGAGUCCACCUUACUGAGAAGCUCCUGGACUAAUGAAGUGAUCUGGUUAAGACCACCUGCCACUAGGCUUCUGAGAAUGCUACUGGUGCCUUCAAAUCCAUCAAUGCAUGUGUCCUGAUUAACAAGUGCAGCACUUAACCAUGUCCUUAAAUCAGAAUUAAGAUCACCAGUGCUGUUAUUUUUACCCUUAGGAUUCUGGGAGGCAGACAUGGUCCAGCUCAACUCAUCAGCGGAGAAGUCCAGUAAGUCUAGACAAUCAGUUAUAGCAUUGGAGAGACGAAAGUCACCAAAGAAAUUACCAAAGUUUGAGAUUGUAGAGGUGACAUCUUGUAUAAUAUCAAUAGCGGUUUUCAAAGAGCCCACGAAUUCAGAGAUGGGCACUUUCAAGAACUCAUUUCGCAAAUACUCACUCCUAGUCCUAGAUGAGGCAGCACAAGGAGUAGAAACCAAAAUCAAGACUACAAACAAGGAAAGCAAGAGUGAAGGAAGAGAAAAUCUUGACAUUCUUGCGGGAAACCAAGGGGGUGAACUGAAGUCCCUGAGGAAUGCACAAUAGUGUAAUGAGGAGUAGUGGGACUGAAGCUUGUAAUGAAGGAAGGUGCAUGCAAUUGCAACAUAUAAUGGGGGGAAAGAGGUAGAUGUUAGACGGGCAGGUGGGGCAUUUAAGAAGGAAGUGGUGAAAUGAGUCAAAUCCUGAAUGCGUUAUGGUGUGGACUUUUAUUAUUGUUAUUAUUAUUAUCUUUCAUUGUCGGCGUUGGCCAUGGUUUAGAAUGGCUGUGUUUUUCAAAAACUCCCAAGUAAGCGAUUGGGCGGGGGGCAUCUUGGUAUUUUGUGCUGGCUGGCCCAUUGCUUUUUCUUUCUCGUCCUUGAAACACAGCAAAAGCCUAACCCUUUUGAAUAGCUUCUUCUCUUUGCUUUUUC